Molecule: small nuclear RNA, 97 nt
Filed under: Microcebus murinus (gray mouse lemur)
Lineage: Eukaryota; Metazoa; Chordata; Mammalia; Primates; Cheirogaleidae
Source: RNAcentral
GUGCUCACUUUGGCAGCACUAAACUUGGAGCAAUACAGAGAUGAGCAUGGCCCCUUGCAAGGGUGACAUGCAGAUUUGUUAACCAUUACAUGUUUUU